AUCAGCAAAUUUGAAUCUAAUGAUCAAGUGCUUUGAGUUUUGUAUAAAAGCGUCCUCCUCCAAACGGAAGGUAUCCAUUCGUUUUGUGUUCUUCUGUUUUCACACCCACAACAACCAAAACCAACCCAAUCAUCAUGAACUUCCUCGUCGCUCUUCUCUUCGCGAUGGUCGCCAUCUCCGCCGUGGUCGGUAUGCAAUCCGAGGAACAGACCCGUGACAAGCGAGCCGUCUUCUACAGCGGAUACGGAGGAUACGGUGGAUACGCUUACGCCCCAGCCGCCUCUUACUACGGAGCUUACGGAUACGCCCCUGCAGCCUACGGAGGCUACUACUGGUGAAAAAUGCAUUGACAGAUAUGCGCUUUUCCUCCACUUUCAUCAGAUGAUGUAGAUCCUACUUCUCAUCACUGUUAACCAGAUUGCAAUGAAAUAAAUUUCAAAAAAUUUACUGCA
Molecule: long non-coding RNA, 452 nt
Organism: Bemisia tabaci
Lineage: Eukaryota; Metazoa; Arthropoda; Insecta; Hemiptera; Aleyrodidae
Source: RefSeq, a predicted model, not a curated record